Molecule: ribosomal RNA, 406 nt
Filed under: uncultured bacterium
Lineage: Bacteria
Description: partial 16S ribosomal RNA
Rfam family: Bacterial small subunit ribosomal RNA
Source: RNAcentral
AUUGAACGCUGGCGGCAGGCCUAACACAUGCAAGUCGAGCGAGCGGCGGACGGGUGAGUAAUGUCUGGGAAACUGCCUGAUGGAGGGGGAUAACUACUGGAAACGGUAGCUAAUACCGCAUACCAUCAGAUGUGCCCAGAGGGGAUUAGCUAGUCGGUGGGGUAACGGCUCACCUAGGCGACGAUCCAUAGCGGGUCUGAGAGGAGGACCAGCAACACUGGAACUGAGACACGGUCCAGACUCCUACGGGAGGCAGCAGUGGGGAAUAUUGCACAAUGGGCGCAAGCCUGAUGGAGCAAUGCCGCGUGUGUGAAGAAGGCCUUCGGGUUGUAAAGCACUGUCAGCGGGGAGGCGUUACCCGCAGAAGAAGCACCGGCUAACUCCGUGCCAGCAGCCGCGGUAAUAC